RNAcentral lists this ribosomal RNA (464 nucleotides) under uncultured bacterium. RNAcentral describes it as "partial 16S ribosomal RNA". It matches the Rfam family "Bacterial small subunit ribosomal RNA", at positions 29 to 506 of the family's 1533-position model. The record is from RNAcentral.
ACGAACGCUGGCGGCGCGCCUAACACAUGCAAGUCGAACGAGCGAGAGAGAGCUUGCUUUCUCGAGCGAGUGGCGAACGGGUGAGUAACGCGUGAGGAACCUGCCUCAAAGAGGGGGACAACAGUUGGGAACGACUGCUAAUACCGCAUAAGCCCACGGCUCGGCAUCGAGCAGGGGGAAAAGGAGCAAUCCGCUUUGAGAUGGCCUCGCGUCCGAUUAGCUAGUUGGUGGGGUAACGGCCCACCAAGGCGACGAUCGGUAGCCGGACUGAGAGGUUGAACGGCCACAUUGGGACUGAGACACGGCCCAGACUCCUACGGGAGGCAGCAGUGGGGAAUAUUGCACAAUGGGGGAAACCCUGAUGCAGCGACGCCGCGUGGAGGAAGAAGGUCUUCGGAUUGUAAACUCCUGUUGUUGGGGAAGAUAAUGACGGUACCCAACAAGGAAGUGACGGCUAACUACGU